This 554-nucleotide ribosomal RNA is filed under the name uncultured bacterium. RNAcentral describes it as "partial 16S ribosomal RNA". It matches the Rfam family "Bacterial small subunit ribosomal RNA", at positions 355 to 902 of the family's 1533-position model. The record is from RNAcentral.
UGGGGAAUUUUGGACAAUGGGCGAAAGCCUGAUCCAGCAAUGCCGCGUGUGUGAAGAAGGCCUUCGGGUUGUAAAGCACUUUUGUCCGGAAAGAAAUCCUUGGCUCUAAUACAGUCGGGGGAUGACGGUACCGGAAGAAUAAGCACCGGCUAACUACGUGCCAGCAGCCGCGGUAAUACGUAGGGUGCAAGCGUUAAUCGGAAUUACUGGGCGUAAAGCGUGCGCAGGCGGUUUGCUAAGACCGAUGUGAAAUCCCCGGGCUCAACCUGGGAACUGCAUUGGUGACUGGCAGGCUAGAGUAUGGCAGAGGGGGGUAGAAUUCCACGUGUAGCAGUGAAAUGCGUAGAGAUGUGGAGGAAUACCGAUGGCGAAGGCAGCCCCCUGGGCCAAUACUGACGCUCAUGCACGAAAGCGUGGGGAGCAAACAGGAUUAGAUACCCUGGUAGUCCACGCCCUAAACGAUGUCAACUAGUUGUUGGGGAUUCAUUUCCUUAGUAACGUAGCUAACGCGUGAAGUUGACCGCCUGGGGAGUACGGUCGCAAGGUUAAAACUC